UUGGGAGACUUCAACGAGAUUCUAUCUUGGGACGAGAAGGUGGGAGGGGCUGUUCGGCCACAACGGUUUAUGGACAACUCCAGGCAAGCCCUGGAAUCAUGCGAGCUCUCUGAUCUCGGGUAUGAGGGCGAUAAGUUCACGUGGAGAAAUCAUAGCAGGGAGAGGCUUGAUAGAGUUGUGGCUAAUGCUCGAUGGUGCCAGUGUUUCCUGGAGUUCACGGUCCUAAAUGGCGCCCCUCGUCACUUGGAUCAUAGGCCGGUCAUUGUAUGUACCUAA
RNAcentral lists this ribosomal RNA (276 nucleotides) under Triticum aestivum (bread wheat). RNAcentral's name for it is "partial small subunit ribosomal RNA". The record is from RNAcentral. Lineage: Eukaryota; Viridiplantae; Streptophyta; Magnoliopsida; Poales; Poaceae.